Molecule: ribosomal RNA, 761 nt
Filed under: Aeromonas veronii
Lineage: Bacteria; Pseudomonadati; Pseudomonadota; Gammaproteobacteria; Aeromonadales; Aeromonadaceae
Description: partial 23S ribosomal RNA
Rfam family: Bacterial large subunit ribosomal RNA
Source: RNAcentral
CACGUGACAUCCUGUCUGAAUAUGGGGGGACCAUCCUCCAAGGCUAAAUACUCCUGACUGACCGAUAGUGAACCAGUACCGUGAGGGAAAGGCGAAAAGAACCCCUGUGAGGGGAGUGAAAUAGAACCUGAAACCGUGUACGUACAAGCAGUGGGAGCCCUUCGGGGUGACUGCGUACCUUUUGUAUAAUGGGUCAGCGACUUACAUUUUGUAGCGAGGUUAACCGUAUAGGGGAGCCGUAGGGAAACCGAGUCUUAACUGGGCGUCUAGUUGCAAGGUGUAGACCCGAAACCGGGUGAUCUAGCCAUGGGCAGGUUGAAGGUUGAGUAACAUCAACUGGAGGACCGAACCCACUAACGUUGCAAAGUUAGGGGAUGACCUGUGGCUGGGGGUGAAAGGCCAAUCAAACUCGGAGAUAGCUGGUUCUCCCCGAAAGCUAUUUAGGUAGCGCCUCGGACGAAUACUACUGGGGGUAGAGCACUGUUUGGGCUAGGGGGUCAUCCCGACUUACCAACCCCAUGCAAACUCCGAAUACCAGUAAGUAAUAUCCGGGAGACACACGGCGGGUGCUAACGUCCGUCGUGAAGAGGGAAACAACCCAGACCGCCGGCUAAGGUCCCAAAGUUCUGGUUAAGUGGGAAACGAUGUGGGAAGGCUCAGACAGCUAGGAUGUUGGCUUAGAAGCAGCCAUCAUUUAAAGAAAGCGUAAUAGCUCACUAGUCGAGUCGGCCUGCGCGGAAGAUGUAACGGGGCUCAAACCA